UAGGGAAUAUUGCACAAUGGGCGAAAGCCUGAUGCAGCAACGCCGCGUGUGCGAUGAAGGCCUUCGGGUCGUAAAGCACUUUUCUGAGAGAUGAGAAAGGACAGUAUCUCAGGAAUAAGUCUCGGCUAACUACGUGCCAGCAGCCGCGGUAAAACGUAGGAGGCGAGCGUUAUCCGGAUUCACUGGGCGUAAAGCGCGUGCAGGCGGUUCGGUAAGUUGGGUAUGAAAUCUCCUGGCUUAACUGGGAGAGGUUAUCCAAUACUACCGGACUAGAGAGUGGUAGAGGCAGAUGGAAUUCCAGGUGUAGUGGUGAAAUGCGUAGAUAUCUGGAGGAACACCAGUGGCGAAAGCGAUCUUCUGGACCAUUUCUGACGCUCAGACGCGAAAGCUAGGGUAGUAAACGGGAUUAGAGACCCCGGUAAUCCUAGCCGUAAACGAUGUAAACUUGGUGUCGGUGGCUUUAACUCCUUCGGUACCGAAGCUAACGCGAUAAGUUUACCGCCUGGGGACUACGAUCGCAAGAUUA
Molecule: ribosomal RNA, 526 nt
Filed under: uncultured bacterium
Lineage: Bacteria
Description: bacterial SSU rRNA
Rfam family: Bacterial small subunit ribosomal RNA
Source: RNAcentral